AUUGAACGCUGGCGGCAGGCUUAACACAUGCAAGUCGAGCGGGGGAAGGUAGCUUGCUACUGGACCUAGCGGCGGACGGGUGAGUAAUGCUUAGGAAUCUGCCUAUUAGUGGGGGACAACAUCUCGAAAGGGAUGCUAAUACCGCAUACGUCCUACGGGAGAAAGCAGGGGAUCUUCGGACCUUGCGCUAAUAGAUGAGCCUAAGUCGGAUUAGCUAGUUGGUGGGGUAAAGGCCCACCAAGGCGACGAUCUGUAGCGGGUCUGAGAGGAUGAUCCGCCACACUGGGACUGAGACACGGCCCAGACUCCUACGGGAGGCAGCAGUGGGGAAUAUUGGACAAUGGGGGGAACCCUGAUCCAGCCAUGCCGCGUGUGUGAAGAAGGCCUCAUGGUUGUAAAGCACUUUAAGCGAGGAGGAGGCUACUCUAGUUAAUACCUAGGGAUAGUGGACGUUACUCGCAGAAUAAGCACCGGCUAACUCUGUGCCAGCCGCCGCCGUAA
This 501-nucleotide ribosomal RNA is filed under the name uncultured bacterium. RNAcentral describes it as "partial 16S ribosomal RNA". It matches the Rfam family "Bacterial small subunit ribosomal RNA", at positions 30 to 523 of the family's 1533-position model. The record is from RNAcentral.